Molecule: long non-coding RNA, 1345 nt
Organism: Triticum dicoccoides
Lineage: Eukaryota; Viridiplantae; Streptophyta; Magnoliopsida; Poales; Poaceae
Exons: 4
Source: RefSeq, a predicted model, not a curated record
AAUCGCGCGACCAAGACGGGGGAGAGCGACGCCGUGCGGCGAGGAAUUUCAGUCGCUGUUGCGUCGAUAGCUCGUGCGACCGCGGCGGGGAAGAGAUACGUCCACGCGACGAGGGAGCCUAGCCGCUCGCUGCUGACAGCUCGCGCGACUGCGGCCUGUGCAGCAGAGGCGCGUCCGCACGACUACGGAGCUAAGUCGCUAGCUGAAGGCUUACGUCCAGCACAACAAUGGAUGCAACCUGUUUGUGGGACUACCGGAGACUUAGAAGUUCAAUUCAACAAAGCUGCCAACAUCUUUCCUGCAAACGUACAAAAACUCAAACCGUCACCCCCAUCUCGUUUUGGUGUCCUUUCUUUAAAGCAUGGCAAAAAAAUGUGUCGCCUCUGUUUUAUAUAGACCAAUUUUUCACUGGGACAGAAAUAUUGCCUACAACGGCAAACUAAAGUAGCCUGUAAUAGUAAACCAUGUGUUGCAGAAAUGCACACCAUGCUGCCUGCAUGGCAAAGCACAAGAAGAUUGACUUGUUCCAUUGGUCUAAUUUUUGACAGAUUUAUAACUCAAUCAGUUCUAAACAAAAAAUAUGUUGUUCAACUACAACAUGACCACUUGCUAAAUCCUAGAUGUUAUCAAUAAACAAUAACGCUAGAUUGAUUGUGCAGUUUACAGAAUUGGUGAAAUUUGCACUCCAUCUUCCAAUAUCCAAAGUGGUCAAGUUUAAUUAAUUAGAGCUGGGUAAAGAAGGUGAGCCCGACCAAGAGGAGCUAGCCAGAUAUGGAGUUCUCAUUGCCGCCAUCCUCCGUUGCCCAUCAGGCCUGGCCUUUCAUAGGUGUGUACUCCAGAUCAUGUCGCGCCGCUGUUCUGCAGGGCCGGCCGUCCGGCUCAGGCCGGCCGGCCCUCUCCGGCUCUUCCACUCUCUCUUGGUCUCUCCCCUCCCCUCCAGCCGUCUCUCUCGGCCUCUCCCUCCCCUGCAGCAGCAGGGCGCUGGGCGGAGGAGAGACCGAGAGGGCCGGAGGCGGAAGGGAGAGUCGGAGCCCAAGGGCAGGGGAGGGAGAGCCCGAGAGAGCCGGCCGAAGGGAAGGGGAGGGACUGAGGGAGAGUGGAGGCGUGGGCAGCCGCCGGCGCGAAGAAGCCUCCUGCAGCGUGCCCUCUCCCCCUUCUAUGUCACUGGAUAAGAUAUAAGAAAGGAGCGCGGGGUUGAAUUCUAAAAAUUCAGGGGUUAAUGUAUAAAACCGAAUCGUUUUUUCAGAAUACCACUUAAAGAGGGACUGCGGGUUUAAUUUUACAAAACAUAAGGACUUUUUGUAAAAUGUGCAACGACGGACGACCAGAAGCAUUAGCUGCUUUA